AACGAACGCUGGCGGCAGGCCUAACACAUGCAAGUCGAGCGCCUCGCAAGAGGAGCGGCAGACGGGUGAGUAACGCGUGGGAAACUACCCUUUGGUACGGAACAACUCGGCGAAAGCUGAGCUAAUACCGUAUGUGUCCUUCGGGAGAAAGAUUUAUCGCCAAAGGAUGUGCCCGCGUCGGAUUAGCUAGUUGGUGGGGUAACGGCCCACCAAGGCGACGAUCCGUAGCUGGUCUGAGAGGAUGAUCAGCCACACUGGGACUGAGACACGGCCCAGACUCCUACGGGAGGCAGCAGUGGGGAAUAUUGGACAAUGGGGGCAACCCUGAUCCAGCCAUGCCGCGUGAGUGAUGAAGGCCUUAGGGUUGUAAAGCUCUUUCGCCCGCGAAGAUAAUGACUGUAGCGGGAGAAGAAGCCCCGGCUAACUUCGUG
RNAcentral lists this ribosomal RNA (431 nucleotides) under uncultured bacterium. RNAcentral's name for it is "bacterial SSU rRNA". It matches the Rfam family "Bacterial small subunit ribosomal RNA", at positions 29 to 507 of the family's 1533-position model. RNAcentral also lists the same sequence under 1 other name. The record is from RNAcentral.